Molecule: long non-coding RNA, 2105 nt
Organism: Amblyraja radiata (thorny skate)
Lineage: Eukaryota; Metazoa; Chordata; Chondrichthyes; Rajiformes; Rajidae
Exons: 3
Source: RefSeq, a predicted model, not a curated record
CAGUCGCUGGAAGUCGCCUGAAAAAUCGCCUAAGUGGGACAGGCCCAUUUCCUGGAGCACACGUUUUACAGGCCCCAAGGAAAGUUGUUACCCGCUUACAUCAUCAUCUGGGGAGUGAGGUAUACGGGUAUGUGGACUCUCAAGUGUGGGCGGAAGACACAGCUCAGGUAGGAUGCUUGAACAUCAAUCCCAUCCAUGUAACUCUCCAAAAAGGGGUAACACUUCCUUCAAUUCAACAAUCCAUUAAAACUACAGGCCAUCAGCAGCAUUGACAAAUUAAUUCGGGGUUUGCCAGAACAAGGAAUAUUGGUGAAGUGCCAAUCAAUUUGUAACAGCCAUUCCAAAACCGGGAAAGGAGGGCCAAUAUAGACUCGUGCAAGACCUGAGGGAAAUCAAUUCUGUUUUGGAACCACUUCACGCCCUAGUGCCAAACCCUGCCCAUAUCCUAGCCCAAAUACCGGCUGAAGCAAAAGUCUUUUCGAUAGUCGACUUGCAACAUGCAUUCUUUUCUCUUCCUCUUCAUGAAGACAGCCAAUAUUUGUUUGCCUUCACAGAAUGGGGCAAACAAUACAUCUGGACCAGAUUGCCUCAAUGAUUUAUCAAUUUGCCUACUUUAUUUUCCAGGUGUCUGCAAGAUCAACUGAGUACCUUGAAGUUCAAAAUGAAUUCAACAUUAGUGCAGUAUGUCGAUGAUCUAUUAGUGGCCCACAAAAAUGAAUCCAGUAAACGGAAAGAUACUGCACAACUACUUAACCAUUUAGCUGAUCUAGGAUACGUGGUCUCACCAUCAAAUGUACUGGUAGCUCAGGAGAAAGUAAAAUUUCUAGGAAUUAUAAUUUCGGCCACUGAAAGAAGUCUUGAGUAGAGCAGACUCGAACCUAUCUGCGAAUUUCCAAUCCCAAGAGAAGCCAAACAAAUGAGACAAUGGCUGGGCAUGGUUAAUUGUUGCAGACCCUGGAUUCCAAAUACAGCUCUAGAAACUAAGGAGCUAACACCCUAUACCAGCAAGGAGGGCGAAUUUAAAUUAACAACGAAAGCACAGGAGGCCUUUGAAAACUGAAAAAGAUCAUUGAUGCAAGCCCCGGCAUUGGGAAGACCAUUAUACGAUCGUCCUUUCGAGCUGUUUUGUACAAUUCUAUCUGACUGUGCCACUUCGGUACUAACUCAAAAGCAUGGGGAUAAACAUAGACGUUGCAUAUUACUCCUCUAAAUUAGAUCCAGUAGCUAGGGGACAUCCUCUUUGCACUCAAAUCUUAACUACAAUCUACAAUAGUUUACAAUCAGCUGCUAAUUUGACACUCCAGCAGGAAAUUGUAGUGUAUAGUUCACAUUCAGUAUCGGCAUUGUUGGGGUAGCUUCAAACCUGGCAUUUAACAAUGGCCCGCCAAAAUAAGUAUGAGAUCUAUCUGUUGAACAAUCUGAUAUUGCAGUUCAAACAUUGUACAUUGAUUAACCCAGCCUCUUUUCUUAUUUCACCCCCAGAAGAGCAAUCAGAAGCAGGACAUGACUGUCUAUUUGUUAUAGAGGAAGAAGCAUUAGUGAGAGAGGACUUGAGGGAUGCACCCAUGGAGGACUCUGACAUCACAUUAUAUGUGGACGGGAGUGCAUCCAUUGGACCGUGGAGUGAGAGAUUGUAUGGGUUUUCUUAGAAAUUCUCCUCUCUACUACGAAUCAAGGACCAAUGAACUAUCAAGAUUGAUGGAUGGGAUUUGCGCCCACGAAAACUCGGGUAGUGAGCACUCAUCAGACAGAAAUCAUGGAGCUACACCCACGAAAACUCGGGAACUCAAUGAAAUUCUGAGAAGCUACACCAACAUCUUCUUGUUAGAACAUUUGUUAAAGUAUAGCAGCCAUCAUUGUAUUCUGAGGUUAUCAUUUAUGAUGAGGGUUAUCAUGAAUGAUAAAAUGGGGGAAUGUUAAUACUGGCCAAAUUAAAGACACUAUAAAAUGGAGAAUUUCUGCACUUGUCAGAAUUGCUUAACACUUGUCAGCUGAAAUUUACAGGCUUUGGAUGGCGCCAGCCAGUCUAGGCUCAGACUGGUAUGAAGGAUGGUGAGGGUUCCAGUAAUUCUCCUUGUUUCUCCUAAAUUGAUAAAAUGUAUAGC